This 484-nucleotide ribosomal RNA is filed under the name uncultured bacterium. Its description in RNAcentral is "partial 16S ribosomal RNA". It matches the Rfam family "Bacterial small subunit ribosomal RNA", at positions 30 to 507 of the family's 1533-position model. The record is from RNAcentral.
AUUGAACGCUGGCGGCAGGCCUAACACAUGCAAGUCGAGCGGAUGAAGGGAGCUUGCUCCUGGAUUCAGCGGCGGACGGGUGAGUAAUGCCUAGGAAUCUGCCUGGUAGUGGGGGAUAACGUCCGGAAACGGGCGCUAAUACCGCAUACGUCCUGAGGGCGAAAGUGGGGGAGCUUCGGACCUCACGCUAUCAGAUGAGCCUAGGUCGGAUUAGCUAGUUGGUGGGGUAAAGGCCUACCAAGGCGACGAUCCGUAACUGGUCUGAGAGGAUGAUCAGUCACACUGGAACUGAGACACGGUCCAGACUCCUACGGGAGGCAGCAGUGGGGAAUAUUGGACAAUGGGCGAAAGCCUGAUCCAGCCAUGCCGCGUGUGUGAAGAAGGUCUUCGGAUUGUAAAGCACUUUAAGUUGGGAGGAAGGGCAGUAAGUUAAUACCUUGCUGUUUUGACGUUACCAACAGAAUAAGCACCGGCUAACUUCGUG